Molecule: long non-coding RNA, 19843 nt
Filed under: Triticum aestivum (bread wheat)
Lineage: Eukaryota; Viridiplantae; Streptophyta; Magnoliopsida; Poales; Poaceae
Description: long non-coding RNA (TAES_LNC015927)
Source: RNAcentral
GUAUCAGGCGUAAUGAGAAGAUUGUGUGCUACAUGACUAUAAGGGUUGAGAAGGCGAUGCAGCUGCUGGAGAGUGGCCUGAAGGUGAAGGAGUACGAGCUGCUCAGGAGGAACUUCAGCGACACCGGAUGCUUUGGCUUCAGUAUCCAGAGCACAUCGAUCUCGGUGUGAAGUAAGUUGAAUUGGUGGCAACCCUUGUGUCAGUGAGGUGCUUGUUUGGACUGGUUAAUACUUAUUAUUCUGUUUCAUUAGUAAAUAGCUGAAACCAAAAUCAUAGAGCAGAAAUAUAUUUGGUUGAACUGCUCUUUCAUUGUACCACCAAAUACUGAAGUUUGGGGUGGGUGAAAUCUUAGGCUUUAUCCUUCAGGUUUAGCUUGUUAUGAAAAUUUAUUUACUUGUCAUGUAUUGUACGCCUGCCUUUCUUUGGCUUCCUGAAAUCACAUUUUGUUUGGCAGGGGCCAACUUUAAUUUGCUCAUCACAAACAAUUCAAAAAAUUGUACGUAUGUGCAGCUUGCUGAAACUUUGACUGAAUCUAGUUGGAUCUUCAGUUUCUUGUAUCUAUGAACAAAUAUGCAUCACUUUUUUUUCUUUUUGGUUCGAGCAAACUCAAGAGUCCUUUCUAAAACUGUAGCCAAGUUGUACCGCCUGCUACUUGAAAAAUAAAGAUGAAUGAAUUGUUUCUCCUGCUCAACUCUUUCCUCUCUGUCUGUGUACGACAGUAGCAUUCAUGCACCAAGCCCAGAACCUGAAUAUUUUGUUUGGCUGCUAGUAAACCAGGAUGUACUCUUUCCAAGUGCAAGUUGGAUAGAACCUGCAAUUUAGUGCAGAGGCAUAUAUGGAUUCUGGUUCAAUUCGUAUGUAUGUUUGUAUGUGCAUGCUUAUGUCUUUGACUAAAACUAGUUAAUUCAUUGGUCUACCUUGAAGGUGACCAGUCCCUAGCUGCGCGCUUUGGUCGGUCCUGCUAAUUUCAGUUCCUAUGAUUUUUAAUCUCCAUUUUCUGUUUCCCCAGCUACCAAGACUCUUGAGUUUGUGGUGAUGGCAGCUAACACGGAGCCGAUCGGAAUCUCCCCCACCCCCUGUUGCUCCCUGAUAAUAACAAGGUAGAAAUACUGUUUGUAUGAUGCAUCAUAUAUAGUACUGCUAAUUAGUUUGUACUAGUCGCCAACCCGUGCAUUCGCACGGGCUAGUUUGAUAAGCUAUAUUAUAAAAUAUGGGAUGCAAUUGUGGAGAGUAUUUUUAUUUGCCUGGGGUAAUGAAAUUGAAGAGUCACGCAAUUUCCAUUGGAAAAGUAACAUCUUGUCUUACCAUUGAUAAUGGUAUAUGAAAUGAAGCAUAUAUUAAAUUCUCUCCCUUUAGAUAAGAAGUCAAACUACUUAAAGAACUUGAUAACGGUAUAUAAUGCCUUCAUAUUAUUGAAAAUUUUAGAAUAAUGAAAAUAAAUUUUUCUUCUUAUUAUCCUUUCACAUAUCACCUAUUCUGACCAGUCUCUAGAGAAACUAAGCAAUUUAUUUUAGAUAGAUAAUGAGACAUCCUCACAAAAUCAACCAACAAAAACAGUUUGAUGUUGAAAUUUUACUUUUCAAAAGAGAAUAGUUUCGAUGCAAACAUUAGAUACCAUUUACUACGUUAGCUACUUUUCUUGUUCCUCCUUUUGUCACAUAAAAUACAUAAGCCUAAUCUCCAACGGAUAUAUCACAAACUACAAAAAUCGUGCAUAGAGGAAAUAGUCAUGUCAUCGAGUGGUUGCACUUUAGUGCAUCCCUUUGGUUCCGUAUUGCCCUAAACAUGUCCUAUAUUAGUCAUUUCGUAAAAUUAAAAUGCCAAACUGUAUUAUUUUAAGAUACGUUCAAAAGUAAAAUGGUGUUGGCUCUUUCUUGAAUUCAGGUCAAUUUUGGUUAAUUGCAUAUACGGAAUUAAAAUAGAUAUUAUUUGGUGCGUACCGAGUCCAAACCAAAAUUUGAAUCAAUAGGAUAUUUACCGAAAUAAGUCCAAACCAAAAUUUGAAUCAAUAGGAUAUUUACCGAAAUACCAAUUCGAUAUUACAAAAACAAUAAUUUCUGGCAUGCACACGCCUCAUAUCCAUUAUCUGUCACCCUAUAUAUUCUAAAUAUACUAAACCUAGCUAGGUUUGAUUUACCCUGUUUUUUUGACUUUUUCUUAUCAGUGAAAACUUGACCAAUGAGAGGCUGACACGUCAAUUACUGGGGGAAAUUGUGGGGUAAGCCUUGGGUGCACUUAGCGAUUUGUGUCGAUGGCGAUUGCGGAUUGGUUUUCUCUUCUCCUCUCAGUUCCCUCCGCGUGUCGAUGCGUCUCUCGAAGACUCGCGUGGGCUCUCUGCCUCCGCCGCCCACCGCUCAACCGCCGAUGCACCACCGCUCAACCGCUGUAUCUCCUUAUAAAAUGGCUCCCGCCCCUCAAGCUUGCUCCAACGCCCAUGCCCAUCACGCAGCGCCCACACGCUCCAGCAGAUCCAGACGAUGUGAUGCUGGCGGUCGGCGAGGCCUCCUCGGCGCGCGGUUUGGUUCGCAGCGAACAGUGAAGCAGAGCUGCGCGGCGAUGGCGACGACCAGCGCAGGGCACGGGCGACACCGCGACAACAAGCACAAGGCCAUGGAGGGGCUCACGCAGCGCGCGGCGGUGCGCGGCUAGGCGGACCUCACGCUGCGGCGGCGGCAGGUGCGUGCUAGCCGUGGCCAUGAGAGGGGGCUUGCGGCGUGACUGUGGCAUGCGGCAGUGGGGAUCUCCCCAACCUCUCCUACCCCCCUUCUGAUGUGGGGAACCAUGGAUUGCCGAUUUUUUGCUGAAUCUUUAGUCGUGUGGAAAUGGCGUUUUGGCUGGGACGUGACGGUGCGGCCACCGGCGCCCUGCGUCCUCCACCGGUGUCGCAUGCUCAUGCCCCUGCCCCCUUCCUUCGGCCGUCCAGACUGCCUCCGUCUCAGCCGGUGGAUGUCCAUAUGCCGGAUAACGAGUGUAGCGGCGAUCACGGUCUGUCCUGCUCCGACAGUCCUCUGUCACUUCUUCCGCUGGCUUACUACUAAUGCAGGUGGAGUUCAACAUGGAAGAGCAUGGCCCAAGCAUCAUUCUGGGCGUAGCUGCCCACCUCUAUGUGACGACUGCUCCAAGGCAGACCAAGUGUUCGUCGUAAUGUCAGAGCGGCCACAGGUAAAAACAAAUCAGUCCAGUCCAUACAUUGUGUUGCUAUACUUAUGAAAACAGUUCCUGAAUCCAGGCACCAUAGAUUAUUGCCCUUAUGAUGCAUUUAGCUACUACUUCUGAACUCUGGAUUUGAUGGAGGUUUGCAUGUUUGUAGUGAUGAUCUUCGAGGUCUGUGUAGUGCCGGAAGACAGCGACCAGUAGCGGGCGCUCGCGCACUGCUUCUGGGAUGACACAGUCAGGACUAAUAAGGAUGAGGAUCAUGUUCAUAUUUCCAGUGGGUUCGUUCCAGUGGUAUGGACGCGGCGAGGCAAUUUAUAAAGUUUGCCAGAGCAGUCACUGCGUACUAUCCCACACUCUAUCGACGGACCACCUUCUUCCACGCCGACGCCGGUCGCCGGGGUAUGGUCAUCCAUCGCCAUGCAAGAGCGCUCUAAUCCCCUAGACAGUACUGCUCACAGCAGUUGCAGGCGCGAACGCAUUGCCCUCAGCCGUGGAUGCCACUGUCCCGAACCAAGGAUGUGCAGGCAUGUUUUAGAUUAUGAUUGUGCAAAGGAAUAUGUUAGAAAAUGACGGUCUGCAAUGGUGUACCAAAAUAUUGAACAUCUUCUGAUUUUACUGGAAGAUUGAUGUGGACAUUGAAGUUAUUGCACUGGCAGCUGAUUUUUUUCCCUUCACAUUUUUGAAGACUGAAUUUUCAGCAGCACUGCACCAUUAAUUGGCUUUCUGCAUGUGACUUGUGAUUGCAGCUGAUGAAGCCGUCAACCGUUGGAGGCAUGGAAUUGUCGAGCCCAAGGUUCGUCACCCUUGUUUUCUAAAGGGAAGCUAAAGUUGGGGUUGCCAAUCUCCGAGGAUUUUCUCAACGGUGAGCACUUCCCUUUUGUUUCUCUUGUUCUGAUCUUUACCACAAGUCGGCAAUAGUCCCUAUUGCACUUCUUGGAUUGAUCUCUCAUUUUAGUCACUACUGUUAUUUAAUAUAAUAAUAAGCCUCUAUUUUUUAUUCCGCAUGCAGUAUUGUUUGCUUACACGAACAAGAUUUCUAAGUUGUUAUAUAUUAAUGUGGUGAUAGGUUGAAAAGUUUGAUCACUGAGGAAUGGGGAUUACAGUCACAGAUUAUUAUUCGGUUAUUCCUCUUGCUGGUGCCUCCGCUGAAAGUUAUGCAUCUAUAUACAACCAUAUAUAUAAGUUUGCCUCUUCAAUCAGAAGAUUGUAUUAGCUAUUCAAUUCAUAGUUCAACCUUUGAAUAUACAGUUUUGGCUGAGUAGUUUGAGCCUCCGUUGUGCAACUGGAUCAUGGUACACAUCCAGACCUGCAGCUGUGUUUUAUUUUAUUAUCCUUUUUAGAAACUGACACGCUGCCUUCGUUGCCUAAACCCGUGCUUUAAUUAAAUGAUAAAUUUACUAUAAAGAUUUUUUUCUUUGACUCUUAUAUGAAAAAAUUGUACGAACAUGUGAUUGCUAUCCAGAUUAGUCAGGUCAUCCUGCAAAUAACUGUGGGAUACAUUACUGAUACUUACUCAAUCAUUGUAGUGAAAUAAUACAAGAUGGUGAACACCUCGGAUGCAGCUCAAAGGUCAAAUAUCAUGAUAUAGAGUAGGCAUUAAACCUAUCUUAUCUACUUAAUUUUUUGUUGCAGACUAAUCGUCUAUCUUAUCCGUACAUGGCUGAUUAGGAAGUAGUACAGUACCCGCAUGUUUAAUAGUUAUCAGAUUAUUUCUGUACAUAGUUGAUUUGUGUAUUGAGACGGGAGGCCAAGUUGUUCAAUUUGUGGAUUUGAUUUAUUCAGACUGGUGGCAUUCCUUAAUUUCUGAUUCCUGUUUAUGUUUGGUUUUGAGCUGUAAAUUAUUUAUUCUGGCACAUCUAACGGCUGCUUCUUUUGUCUAGCCUUCUUUCAAUGAAAUAUUUCCAGUCAGUAGACUAUACUUGCUAUUCCAAUCACAUACAGGCCUAGGGUUGUCCACUAAGAGAAGGUGCAACAAAUUCACUUGGUUUGUGAAUAUCCUUAAUAUAAGCUAGCAACUUUUCAUAUAUAUGCCAGGUUGUCUUCAAGCCAUAGAAGCACUAUCGAGCCCUGGAGCUGUGGCGACAGUGCCGUCCCAGCCACCGGCGUCCUCUUCCAUGCCAUGGCCAUCCAGGAGGAGUGCCACGGCUAUCGCAGUUCUCCCCAUGCCAUCCUCCUGGAUGUUGAUCGUGUCCUUGCACCGGCGGCAGCUGGAGCCUGGUACGUCCAGAGAGGCAUGGCCUUGGAUUGGAGCAUUGCAGUCAUCGAUCCACUUCGUGGUAGUCAUGGGGUAGGGUGGCGUAGAACUCAGCCCCGUGAGCUGCAGUUCACCAGUUCAUUCCUCAGCUGUAAGCCCAGCAAGAAGGAAAAUGGUUUGUGCUAUAUAUACGACUGAACUGGACAAUCACAUAGAAGGUAGAUAUUUGCACAUCUGAUUUCUUUUGUGUAGUCUGGGUACUCUUUCCCAUGGUGUUAAAAAAUAUAUAUGUUUGUGAAGUUGUAUGACUUAGUGAUUUUGUAGCACACUAAGUUGACCCAAACUGGCUUGAAUUUGUUGGUUAUUUGGCCUUGCCUGAACACGGUUGGUGAAAGCAGCAGUGCUUGCUUUGAUUUUUUUUUGUUCAGUUAAAUCAUUCACAUGAGUAUCUCAAUUUAAUUAACAGUGUAAGUUGAUUGUGAGGCUGUGUAUUUUUUGUUGAAGAAGAAAGUACCACCACAUGUAACUCAUUUGCACUUAGUGAAUUUCAGUUGGCAUCUUAAUAUUGGCCCUACUUUACAAUAUAAAGCAUUGCUCUGUUUGUAGGUUGCAGCAAGAUAUGCAAAAUACCCGUGCUUCUUACUAAUGAUGAUCCUAAUGUUAAUUCAAUGGGGAAAUGAAUAUCGAGUGCGGACAUAGUGUUGUUCUUUUAGGGCAAGAAAGAGAAAAAUGUUAAUUUUGGUUCCUUCCUUUUUAUGUAUAUGGAUGCAAUGUGUGCUUUCUGUCUAUUUGUAAUCUGUCUUAUAGGUAUACUCAUGAAGUAUACGACCAUUACUCCCUACAGUACAUAGUUCGGAUUUCUCAUUUGUAUAGUUCAAUGCUUUCGGUUUGGAUAGUUCACUCUUCCUAUUUGGUACCAAUUUCAAACUGAAGGACCGAUUCUUGAUCUUCUUCUAUAUUGGGUAUUGUUUAGUUUUGUGGGUAAUUUUAGUUCAUUUAUUUUGCAUAUUCCCAAUUUUUGUACAACUUCUCCGUAAGAAAUAGACACACUAGAUUCAUACACCUACCUUUGAAAAAUAUCAAUUUUUUGGCCAUAGGUGCUGAGUCCAAUGCGUAGAAUCUUCUAGAACCAUCUAUGACUUCAGCACCAAGGGAAAGGAGGGGCAGAGGAAGAGGCACAAUAAUGUAAGUUAGGUGGUCAAUUGCAUGGUCCGCUGGGAGAGAUCUGGCUGCCUAUGAACUGAUUUGUGGUGGGUGCGUUGAUAAUGAUCAAUAUUUGUUCAUCACCAUUCUGUGGUGUUGAUCCUCUAUUAUUACUCAUUGUUGGAAUACUAACUGUUAAAGUUUGUAGUUGUAGCGUUGUUGCAUGAACAUCCUUAGGCAUUUGUUUACCAGAGACCAUGCUUUCUGAUUUUCUUGAUGACUUGACAAACAAAUAAAAUUGCAAUAUGCAUGGAUAAACUGGUCAUAAACUCUUGAUUUCCUCUGCUCGGCAUAGUGACUAAUUUAGUGGUGAGCGGGUAGUUACCCAGUGUUUGUCUUAUUGUUUGUAGGUGGUCCUUCCUGUAGGUCUGUUGGGCAGGGCGAUUUGCGUGUUCCCUGUUCCUCCGUUCUGGUUGCGUCUUUUGGUAUUUUUUGCAUCUAUUUCUUUGCUUGAUUUCUUGCUUGCCGUAGGGUGUCAUUAACUUUUACUUCUUUUUUUUGGUAGGCCCAACUAUGGAUGUGGGAGGAGACCUUUAUGAACUCUAGGUCUGAUGUGUAGUCUUGGCAGAAAGAAACCACAAUGCAUAUACUUUUCAUCUUGCAAGAUGUAGCACUCAUGAUCAUAAUAAUGUAUCCUUUUGAAAUUAUUUCCGUGCAUAUAUAGCUUGCUUCCUUGUGACUACGGAGUUAUAAAAAUAAGCUUAUGCACAUGAAGCCCUUAUUUUCCAUCUCAUGAGUCAAGAGUAGCAUAUACACACACACGUACCGUAUCGCGGUCUUAUUUUCUAUCGUCUCAUAAGUCAAAAGUAGCAUAUACGCAUACGUACCAUAUCGAUGGGGUGUGGCGUGCCGCCGCACGGGUAUAGCUAGUGUGGUUACUACAAAUUAACAUGCAUAUUACUAUAAAAAACGUUGAAACUUCUAAUACCAAAAUACACCGAUACAUAUGUACAGGAACUGAGAAAAGAAAAGCGACUCAGAUUAUUACACUAUAUUUAACUUGGGCUCCAUUGCAUCAAGGAAUUUAUGUUCCGAUAGACUGACUCCGGCUCAUUAAGACUUGACAAGCUGAUCCCGUCAAAUAGUGCGAGCGAGAAGAGGCUGAGAAGGAUGGUAGUAUUUACAAAUAUGGAGACAACACAUAAUGAUACCAUUAAGACAAUUUAUUUCUCUGAAUACCACGGUGUAGUAAGUUAUCCUAAUAAAAAAAGGAAGCAACACAUACCAUAUAUAUCUGCACCGCUACCAUGAUACGUCGACAAAUCUUGCUCAUGUCGCCUAGGCUGAUCUCCUUGCGCAUGGCCUCUAGGACAAACAGUACUGCCGUCUCCCGGAACGUCUCAGCCGCAUCUCUGCCCACCGAGCCAACCACGCCUAUUGUUCUCCGUGUGGACAUAGCUACCAACGCAACCAUGCAUGGGGUCCAACCGUCAGCUUUUGUACCAUCUUGGAUAGUGGACACGGUCGCUGGUCUCUGACAGACCACAUCACAUGUAAGUGUAGUUUCAAGGAUUGAGGUUCCAACAACGAACAGAAAAAUAUAGUUUGAUGCUAGAAGCUGACAGAAGCUGACAGAUAUGGUAAGAAAAGUCUAGCUUCAGACUUCAAAGUGCUAAGCUGUACCAUACCAGGCUGCGCGCAAAGGUGAAGGCUGCAAUCUCUCGAGCAAUUAGAUUCUAAACUGGGCGGCAGAUGAUGUGCAUGCCGUGGAGGCCUGAUCAACCUCCCAUAGGUACCUAGGAGAACUCAACAGUGCUGGCACGCAAGUGAAGAGAAGCUGGGAAGUCCUUAACCUUUGUGGAAUACGGAAAAGAUUAGCAACUACUAUGUUAAAUUAUUCACUCUAAAAUUUACCAAAGAUUAAGGUUGCGUGUGUUGGACCUGUCACGACAGGUCUAAAAUUGCAUGAUUACAGUGCUAUUUCCCAUGAAAUCAGCAAUAUAUCCUGCGAUUCAGUAAGGGGAAAAUGGCAUCGAGGUACAACCAAAAUAGCAGCGAUAGAGGUCAUACCAUGCACGAUUUAAAGCUGUUGUAUAAACUGAUCAGUUAUAAUUGAACUUCAAACUGUAGUCGGUAUGUCCCACAGACACGGCGACCAUGUGGUCAGAGUAGCCAUUUGUAGCUGCUCCGACAGAUGAUUAUUAGCAAAGGCAUUGCAUAUUGGCUAGCUACAGUGUUUACACCAUGCUAUGGUCCUCCGUUCUCAAUAAGAUUCCAUCAGGAAAUCAAUUGAAUACCAAUGUUACAAUCUGAUGAGUGUGGGUACUCAGUUUCUUACCAAAGCUGAACACAAACAUUAUCUUAGCACACACUCCAAACAUCUUCCAUCUACUAUUUUCAUUCAUGCAGGAUGUAGCAUCAAGGUUCAAGAAACACAUACUUGGGAUUAGGUUGGAAGAAGAGAAACCUAGGAAUUGCUAGGAGUACGAUCGGAAACAAAAACAAAACAACACAUCCAUUAAGAAAUAUGGUCUCUAGGUAAACAAUUUCAUUUUUCUUGGUGUUGAUGCAUGCUGAUAUAGUAUCAAAAGAGUAAUUAGUCUGAUCUUUAUUUUCUAUAAGCAUGAACCCCAUGGUUAAUUGUAUUAAAUACAUCUAGGGACUUUAGUUUCCUCUUCAGUAUUGUGGGAAAAAAUACAAAAAAUUGGGACUUCAAUACAAACGAAAGAAGACGCAACUUAAAUGGUGACCUUCAAUUAUAUUUUUAUAUAAAUAAUGUCUACUGCAUAUUGUAUCGCUCUAGUUUUUGAAACUCUUGGAUAAAAAUCUGUCAAAAUGUAAAGGUCCCUAGAUCAAACUUGGCGUAGACAAUUGGACAGGCGCCCACCAGACUCUAAACCAUGACUCGAUGCACUUGGACCUCUCUAGAGGUGCAGAUCAAGAUGCUAGAAACAACUGCUUGGGCGUCUUGCCAUAAAACUUUGUCUCCAAUCUCCAUGUAUGUCAAGGUCAAAUCUGAUUAGGUAAUGAUCAUGGUACAAAAUCUAUUGUCUUUCUUCUUCAAUAUUAUGCAAAAAAUACAAAAAAAGUGGGACUUCAAUGCAAACAAAAGAACACGCAACUUAAAUGACGACCUUCAGUUUAAUUUGUAUAUAUAAGUAAUGUGUAUUGUAUAUUGUAUCCCUUUGGUUUUUGAAACUCUAGGAGAAAAAUCUGUCGAAAUGUAAAGGUCCCCACCAGAUCAAACCUGGCGUAGGCAAUUGGACCAACGCUCACCAGACUCUGAACCAUGACUCUGAUGCACCUGGACUACGCCAGAGAUACAGAUCAACAUGCUAGAAACAACUGCUUAUGCGUCUUGCUGUACAACUUUGUCUCCAAUCUUCAUGUACGUCAAGGUAAAAUCUGAUUAGGUAAUGAACAUGGUACAAAAUCUAUUGUAUAGGUUAGUAACUAUAGAGGAAAACUACAGAAGGUUAGUAUAGAGGAAAACUACAUGAAGAACGAAUAUCAGAAGAAGAAAUAGCCGGAGCUUCAUCGAAGACCAGAAAAUCCGAUCAAAUUGUGACGGAGAACUCAUCAUGCAAACAUACAUUUUUUAUGAUGCAUAUGCGCUAACACAAAUAUCUCCUAAACAUCUUACUUAAUACCUGAAAAUCCGAUCAAAUUGUGAAGGAGAACUCAUCAUGUAAGCAUUCAUUAUUUAUGAUGCAUAUCCACUAACCCAGAUAUCUCCUAAACAUCUUACUUAAUUCAGCACCAACAUCCCCAAUAUUUUUUACAUCGAUUCCAGUUCCAUCUGGUGCAGAAUAAAAGAUAAAUGUGGAAGUGGAAGGAAUAUAGAUUAGUUGAAAGAUAUGAUUGCGCUUAUCAAUUCUAUUUAAACCGUCUGACAUCCUGGCUCGCUGAUCACGUUUCACCCCUGUACAUAUCUAUGCAUGCAUCCAUGACAUGCUUGGUUCUUAUGCUAUGGCCGCGAAUGUAUUUGAGCCAGUCAUCUACAACCGAACCUGCUUCUAGGCUGCCAUACAUCCCAUGCACUGUCGGCGAUGGGGUUAUUGCGGCCCGAACUCCCAGCAGCUACCACAACGUAGAGAACGAAGAUCUGAGAAAUUACAUGGUUAAAGCAUGAACAAAUGAGAUGUGCAAACAGAUUGGGGAUUAAGGGCAUGGAAAUUCAAUCCAGCAUGCAAACCUAGCCAUGGAUCAAGACUUGGAGGAGCCCCAAAUCAAGCCUGAAGACGAAUAUCAAUGAAAAAUAAAAAAUCAGAUAAAAUUUGCAGGCAACCACAAACUCUCUUUCAGCAGGCUGACAUGAUACCUAGAAGUAGGCAGAAAACCAACAACACCAUACUCCAUCACUGCACCUUGAAACCGAACAUGGCGCGCUCAAGCACGCUGACUCGCACAACGGCCGCCACAACACAAAGAGAAACGAAGAUCCGUGGAAAUCGCACGGAUAAAGUUUGAAUGCAUUAGGGGAUUAAGCGCUUGGAAAGUUUGAACGCAUGAGGGGAUUAAGCAUGUGGAAAGAUUGCUAUGAUCGACCAGCUGUAUACAGCGAGGCGAACACGGCAGCUGCGUGUGUGAGAGGGUUUUUUAUUUUUUGAGAUGAAGCGAUGGGGAGUUUGUUUUUUAGGGUAAGGAGAUGGGCAGUUUUUUUAGGGGAAGGAGAUGGGCAGUUCGUGACCUACACGAUACGAUCUGGAUUAGGAUCGUGUCUUCCAUGUAUUCUACAUUUACAACCGUCAAAGAUUGUGGGCUUUAGAAAGGAAAAAAAACUUUUGAAGGAGAUGGGGAGUUCGUGACCUACACUAUACGAUCUAGACGCCUCUUAGAAACAGAAUUGGGACAAAGAUUAACAUAGAUUGCAUUGCGCAUUUUAUUAAAGGGCUUAAAAUAGACUGGUUAAUCUACACCGUUAUAAUUCGGUCCCACCAGAUUGACGGCUCCUAAUUACUGAUUAAUGUGGUAAUUUCUUAGGAGUCGCUAAUUAGUAGAGGUAUAGAUAGAUGUUGUUGUUUGUGUGAUAUGGUUAAACCGAUGACUGUCAAGCUCAUAAUUUUGUAUGUGUUAAAAAUUAAUAGAAUAUAUUUCUUUGGCCUUCUAUUUUUAUUUAUCAAAUGAAAGGACAUUCUGUUUGGAAGUGGACAAUUUUGCUCAAAAAUAAGUAAAUAAAUUGUAUGUGCAUGCUGAAACAUAAGAUGUCUGUUGGUUGCUGUAUAUGGGCAAGAUGAAUUGAAUCCUACCGUGUACUUGUCAAUUCUAGCUUAUAUUGCUGAAACGUAAUAAGUGAAUUUUGUCUAUGUGAGAUUAGAAUCUGAGUGCUUUCAUUCAUAUUAUGGUAUCAUGUUCUCUGUGAUAACUGUUAAGUUGCAAGAUGAAUGCAUUCUUCUAUCCAGCUUUAGUUGUUUUUCAUUGUUUUGUAUUGGCAUUCAGCCCCUCACCCAACUCGCUCAUGAUGCACGACAGCAAUAACGGGAAGAUCAUGCUAGUCUGCAUCAUCAUGCACACCAUGGAGAUCACCCACCUCCUCAACAACGACAACUCCAUCCAGAUCAUCGUCGACGCCAUCAUUAACUGGUACUAGCCUAUCGAUUCCCUUAUCUCCCUCCUUGAAAUAGCUAGUAUUAUAUGCUGUCAGUUGAAUGGAUGAGAGUGGCAUCGCACUAACAUUUCCUCUGUUUGAAUAAAUUGUAGGAGAAGGCUCCCUACGUUGCUCCGGAAACUUGCUGUGUGCUGGGCAACUAGUGAUGUGGCACACCAAGCAGCAGCACUAAUUGAUGAAGGAUGGUUGUUGUUAGUUUAGCUCCUUGCAAGUGUCUACUGCUGCUAGUAGAAAUAGAAAUGCUGCUAGUAGAAAUAGAAAUGGUAGAAAUAGAAAUGUUGCUUCAUUUCCAUGUUAAUUCAGUCAAUGUCCAGUGUAUCUACUAUCUACUGUCGUGACUGUUUAAAGAGUUCUUUUGUGUUGAAAGAAAUAAAAUGGUUUGAAUUCAUGUGUACAUGCUGAGAUGUCAAGCUGGAAUAACCAUGUCUGUUGUGGAGGCCCAAAAUAGAUUGCACUGUAAAAGGGCCGAGGCCCAAAAAAGAAAUGAAUUAUAGAAGGCCAUGUCCUAGAAAAUAAAAAGAAAAGGCACAACUAGAUAUAUAAAAAGGCUGAAUUCUUGGGCCAGGCCCAUGAAGCUUACCAGAAUUAACAAGGAAAAAAUACAAUAAAUGGGCUGAAUUAUUGGGCUUGGCCCAUAUAGACACCGAACUGGACCGGGCUGAAUCUUAUCAACGACCUUUUCAAUUGGUCGUAAUUAUGCCAUAUCAGGUUGCCACGUCGGAUCCGACGUGGCCUGGGCAGACAACCAGUGACCAAAACAAAAGGUCAUGGGUUCAACGACAUUUUGUUUUGGUCGUAAAAGUCUACGACCUUAUCCCGAAGAAGGUCGUUAAUUUCACUUUACGACUGUCAGCUUUUGACCAUCUAUUUUUGGUCACAAAAUGGUCACAAAUGAAAAACAAUGACCAUUCAGUGACCAAUAGUCAAGGUCACAAAUUGACAUUUUUCUUAUAGUGAGAGCAUGCAAAAAUUUAGAGUGAUGCUAACAACCAGUGGGUGGAUCCAAAAAUAAUGAUAGCAGGCUGAUGAUUGCUUUAAUUUAAUAAAAAGACAGAUGAUGAUUGCUUUACUAUUUGUUUCCCACCCAAGAUGAACAACAUAGGCAUACCCUAGGUGAACCAGAUAUUAGACAGACAUACUAUUCAUUGCUGCCUCGAUAUGUGCCCCACAACUAAUUUAGAACUCAAGUUUGAACAUUAAUUUGGACCUGAUUUGGGAGUCCAAGAGCUGAACAGGACGAUAAAGUAGCAGGUAAUUUUAAGCAAUGCAUAACAUAAGCAGAAACAAAAGAGUGCGACCUCUCUUGUGGAUCCAUGUACUCCUCAGGUUCAUCUUCUAAGUCGAUGAUGGUGAUGUCGUUGCGGUGGGUGCCGGCGGCAGGGAAGGAGAUUUGAGGCGGCGAAAGACGGCCAGGAGUCGUGAUGUCUAGUUUGGUGGAUGCUUAUGUCGAUGGAGCAGCUCAGGUGAGGUGGACGACGUCAUGGCAGGAGCAGGACAAACCACACAAAGUUCCCUUCGACACCUACCUAUAACUGAAGUAAUUCUGUAAGGGCUCAUUUGGCUUGCAUGAUUCUAAAAACGCAGGGAUAGGAAAAACACCAGAAUAGGAUAGGAAUGCACAUGGUAAAUAGAGCAUUUGUAAACACAUGAUUUCUGUCAACUUGGGUGUUUGGUUUACAGGAAUUGGAAGAGCAAAGGAAUGCAAAGAAACAUGGCCAAAAUAAAGUGAAACCAUAUGAAAGCGUGUACAGUUAGAAUGUUAUUCUGCCACUAAUGCACUUGGUCUUGUUUUCAUGCAUAGGAUUUUGAAAAGUAGGUCCAGGUGGAUGUUUUGCUUCAUUCCUUUCAACCAAAUGCAUGAAUAAUUGAAUAGUAGAGUGCCACUCGAAAAUUCCCUAUUGCUAUGUUUUUCCGUUGAACCAAAAUAGCCCUAAUGGAUCGACGUGAAUGUAUAGUAAUAAGUGAUGCAACAAGUGUACAACCUCUUUGCCAUAGCCGUCUAGACCUCAGCAUCAUUGGGUUGGUCGCUGAAGCAGUUGAGGCAGAGGUGGCUGUCGGAGGUGUGGAGGAAGGUCUGAGGAAUCUGUAGACAGCGUCCAGGGCAUUGCUCUACUGUGAUGGAUCGUUCUGUCAUUGGAGCAGCUCCGGUGAGCCGUAAGACGUCAAGGCUGAAGCAGCACAAGACAGACAUCGUCAAUCAGGGGGGAUUCUAAUAGCAUGUCCAAUAGAUGAUGUAAAAUAGACGUAAAAUUUACAUCACCAAAAACCACCUGACUACAACAGAUGAGGUAAAAACUGUUGACUCUGAACUUAACUGUCGAAACUGAAAUUUACUGUGGAAUCUGAAUGAUACUGUCAAAACUGAACGCAAUGGUAGCAGAGAGGCACUUGAUAUGUAGUUUAGGGAGGGCCUGCAAUUCAUCUUCAACCUGCACCCUCCUGAGCUGCCAGCCACCACCGGCCAAACCGCCGGCCCCAGCGCCGCCUCGCCGCCCCGAAACAACUCGCCACCGCCACCCAGGCCAGCCCUCUAGGCCCCCCGACCAAACCUGAACCCUAAGAUAGAUAGUGGGGUACUUCUCCGACGAGCCCCCGUCCCUGCUGCCAGUGGUUCUUUCUUAACUCCUGCGAGCCCCCCAACCCCUGAAAAUCGACUGACCCAAAAGUCGAUUCAGUCGACUAAUGUGUGGCUAAAUCGGAGUAGAGCAGCAGCACGAGCAAGGGGGAGAGCAACAUCAACAACUGGGCGAGCGAGCGAGAGCCAGAGCAGCAGCAGCAACUAGGCGAGCGAGCGAGAGCUGGAGCAGUAGCAACAACGCGGGCAAGCGAGCGAGAGCUGGAGCAGCAGCAACACAUCCGGCUGGUAUGGACGCCGCCGCCGAAGGGGCCUCGCACUAGGGGAGAGCCGCCAUGGAGAUGUCGCCCGCGGCGCCGGGGUAGCCGCUCCAUGGGGGUGCGGGAUGGAGCACCGUCGGUGCCGGGAGGUUGAGUUAAGGAGAAGGUGCGAUGCGAUGAGUGUACAACCUCUUUGGUGGCGCUGAGUAGGCCUCGGCUUCGUCCGAGGAGUCGAUGAGGAUGCUGCAGUUCCGGUGGAGCAGGUUAAGGCGGCGCUGUGGGGAUGGAGCAGCUGCGAUAGACGAGGCGAUCAUCGGAGCAGCUCCUUGGAGGUGGAGGACGGGGUGGCUGAACCGGCGGGACGACGAGAUGAACGACGAAUCCUCAUCUGGGGAGGUAGACGAGGGACGUCGAGCUGUUGCGGUGGACGACAUCGUCAGGGAAGAGGCUCCGGCUGGGCAGCGGUGAGGUGGCGGACGGAGGAGGAUGGGGUUCUGCGGCUGGAGCAGAGAGGUUAUGGCGGCCUGGGAUUUCGAAUGGAGAAAAGGGGGCGAUGGGAGGAGGUGAAGCAUGACUUAGGGACGCGCUUGUCCAAAAUGUAGGGUGUGUUACAAAAGUACCCCCACCGAUUUGAACUAGCGGCCCUUUCAGCUCAGGGUUAGAGUGGGGAUCUCGCGUGUCGGGAUUUGGCAGCUGGAGGGAGUUUUCGUGCGCGUUGUAAUUUCGGGAUAACAAGGCGCGGGUUGUGAAGGCGCCAAUUUUGGGAGCACGAUAUCUGAAUUUUCCGGAUAUAACAAGCCGCAUGUUGAUUUUUAGGGACAAGCCUAACGUGUAGUAAUAUUGUACUUGUACGUACCAAAUCAAUUCGCACUUUCCUCAACCAAAAAUAAAACGAAAAAAAUAAAACUAUUCACACCACACAAAGAGAGAGUCUUGCCCCGUUUUACUAUAAAAAUGCUAUUCAAAGCUACUCCCUCCUUCCAUCUAUAUAGGGCCUAAUGCGUUUUUCGAUGCUAACUUUGACCAAAUAUUAGAGCAAUAAUAUAUGACAUGCAACUUACACGAAGCACACCGUUAAAUUCGUUUGUGAAAGGUUCUUUCAAUGAUAUAAUUUUCACAUUGUGCAUGUCAUGUACUAUUAAUCUUGUCAAUAGUCAAAGGCGGUCUUAAAAAUCUCAUUACGCCAUAUAUAGAUGGAAGGAGGGAGUAUGAAUCCAUGUUAUGUCCAAUUAAUUUUUUUUCGCUUGCUGUAUAAUGCAUGUAACGACCUACUCAUACCAACAUUUUAGUGCAUUCCAAAUGUCUAUACUACCAUUGCAAUUCGAAUCAAAUUUGAAUUCGUUUCUCUAUUUCAAUAAGAAUCUACAAUCAUGAUCGUUGCCAAGUUCAACCAUCAUUCGUGUAUUACCUUAAUAACACACCACAUGAUUACUAUAGAGAUAGAUAUGAACUAUGUGUACUACAUGAACUCGAAUUCUAUUUUUUGAAUACACUUGAUGUUGAUUCCAAAUAAUAGUAUAUUUGAUAUACUAACUAUAUAUUCAUAAUCUAAACAAUGUUCCAUACAUACACCGUGUUUAUCACACAAAGUAUAGUGCCCCGCCCCCUACAUUAUGACAACUAUUUAGACCUGAGUUGCAAAAGCCACACAUUAGCCCAAAUUAUAAUCAAUGUUCUACAUUAUGAUAUCUUCUUCAAGUAUCCGUAUCCACUCUUUUAUAAUGAAUUAUGAUCUUUGUUCGUCUUUUACACCUUCACGAUCCUCUUCUAUUUGUAGCUAGGUAGCGCUAACUUUCUAUCAUGCAUGCACACGCCCGCCCCCCUCUCACCCACCCUUAGCGUCCCCUGCAUCACGCACGUUCAUUAUUUCUCUUUAGGUCGUCCACCCGCGUGUGUGUAGGCCACCGGCUCCUUAUUUCCGGCACACAUCGGUCGAUAUACCUCUCUAGCCAAGUGUGCCUACAACAAACACAUAUAUACUUCCCCUCUUCUCUUCUCACCGUCCAUGCCCCCCUAUGUCCAAUACGGUUCCACGUAGGUGCACACUCCCGCCCCUCUUUUCAUUGAUCACAUACUCGCAAAAUCCUCCCCCAUGACAUGGUAGGCCUCUCGCACCACCUCCUAGCCGCACCCUCUCCCCUUGUCUGUCUCUUCGGACCUUAUUAGCUUCUAACACAUGUAGGCGUGUAUAUGAACUGAUCUCCCUACAUAUAGCCAGGUCGACUAUAAUUCGUUUUCACCAAGCACUGCUACACUUACCUCGCUAGUCAUGUCUCUCCCUUUCUCGGACACAUGAUGAUUGAUCUUCCUAUGUAGUUACUUAUGCUUACCACAACCAUAUCUUCUCCCCUCAUCAUCCUUGAAUACCUCCCGACCCGUCUCUCACACGCACGUGCAUAGACAGACAGACACCCCCCGCCCUCUCUUAUUGAUAUUGCACUCAUACCCUCCAUUUGUCUAACAGGCCUCUCCCACUAUUUGUGAGACGCCACUCCACCACCAACCCUCCCAUGCUCUACCUUUGUCUUUUUCCCAACCUUAUUCCUCUUCUAUACAUAUCCAUGGAUGUCGAUCGAUCUCCCUCAAUACAUAGCUAGGUCUCUCUCCUUCCCCACACAUAUACUAGUUGAUCGGUCUCCCCCCCUCCCCCCACACACCGAUAGUCGAACGUUGUAGGUAGGUAUCCAUGCCACGGAGAAAAACUACACCUCUGCCCUCUCAAAUUCCAGUAGGCCAGCCGCCCUGUAUCUUUGAUGUGGGCAAACACAAAUUCGAUGGCACUCUUUAUCGAUCGCGCAGCCACACACUUCAUCCCUGUUUUCAAUUCUAUCGAUAUCUCACGUCCAUGACUCCGUUUCACACACAUUGCAUAUGUUACGUUUUUCUGUUUGAGAUAUCAUUAACCCAUUGCCUCUGUUUCGCACAAACCAUCUCUCUGACACCCACCCACGUACGUACCUGCACCUAAAUAGGAAGUGCACGCAGGACGCACGUACUCCUGUCCCAUUCCCGGCCACACCCGCGCGGGUACAUGGUGGAGUUCGUUUCUGUACGAGAAGGCAGCCCACAUGAUAAUUUGACGCGUGUAGCGGUUGUUUACUCGAAGGAGGGUCGGGUACCACGCCUAGACGGAACAAAGUUCGACUUGACGCGCUAGCAUUAAAUGAAGUUAUAUAGUCCUCAAUGGCACGUAUGGAAUAUAAAACGAUUGCCGUGGGGAAAAUGGAAAAAUGGGUUUGUCUCUCGUCACACCAUCUCACACAAGGCGGCCGUGGCCUCUCUCUCUUAGCGUUGGUCAGUGAUCCGGCCGCAUCCCGUCCACGGCGGAAAGGGAGGAUGUGCAUCGUCUCUCCGUUCGACGGCGUUGAGGCAGCACAUCCCGAUCUGCGGUACCCGCCGUUCUCUCUGACCAAGCUCCGGCGCGGUAGGGCCUUCGCCACUUGCUCCCUACCGCAGUAUGGACAGAUCUCGGCCGCCGGCGCCCUCCUAGUAACAUCCUAAUGACCCUCAGGUACAGCUUCCUCCGGCCUUGCUCCACUGCCCAUCUUCCCACGUUGCUGCAUGUGGAUCUUCUUUAGUUGUUUGCUUAAAUCGUAUCUCGGCCGGUGUACUUUCCAUCUUGCAAUCUCGUCCUCAAACCAUUUUUGAUAAACCACCAUGUGCUAUCUUUCCCUUACUACAUGGAACAUGCUUCUUUUUGUCGGUGUAUGUGUCUUCAACUCGUGUUUGGGCAGUAAUUGUUUCCUUUCGACCUCCUUUUGCAAACAGGGCUAUCCAUUUUCACCUCGUUGCUAUUGCGACCUUUUAGUAAACUGCACAAAUCACUUUUUUCUAAAGAGUGUUUUGUGCAGUUCCGCCAAAAUGUCACACGGGCAACGUUUUUACAUUUCUAUGGGACUGUGGAAAGGGAGAUUGGUUUUGCUAUCCUCCUCAUCCAACUCCGUGCCUAAUCUUCUCCAACAAGAAGUUAGUCCUAAAGAGAGAUCGUAGAGGUGAUCGACUUCUAUUUAUGUGUGUUAUGUUUCAUCAUCUAGUUCCACUAUUAUUGUAAUCACACUGACUGUAUAUCUUUGCAAACAGGGAUGGUCCGCUCGAUUUUAGUGGAGCUGCACAAAAUGAUCGGAUUGUGGUGUCCUUCAUACACCUCUUUUUUGGCUACAGAGCUGGGUGAAACUAGCUGCCAUGCAAUGAACACUAUGCCAAGGAAAUGGAGCCAUGCCUACGAACAACAUUGAUCAAUUAUAUUUUUUUCUUUAUUUGUACACCUUCUCCCAACUUUGUCUUCAGUUGUGAUGUGAAUAUUGGCGCUGAUCUGCGAACCAUUGAGAUGCAUUAGCCAUGGUAGUUUCAUUUGUAUUUGAUGGAAUAUUGUAACGAGAUAAUCUCGAGGCAAGACACAUGAAUCCUAAGCUGAAACCUUUUUUUUCCUGCGGGAACCAAAGUUGAAACCUUCAUAGCAUCACAGUACAAUUUCACUAAAAUUAUGCGUACAUAUAAACAAAUCCUGAAGGAUUAAUAGCAAUGCCAAAAACAAUUCAACUUCGUUUCACCGACAUGUUGGACAUCCUUCAUCCGGCUCCACCUACCAUGCAACAAUAUUGAGUGCACAACACAACUUCAGGGAAAGAUUCACCCCGGUCGUUGCACUGCAGUAGUAAUGACCAGUGAGCAGUCAAAUCACAGAGCCCCACCUUCGCCACAGUAAGUUGCUCGGACGAAGCAACCAUCAUUUCUCUGUUCCUUGAAUCCGCUGGUACUCCCAUAUUCCCACAGUAAUAAGUUGCUCGGGCGAAUCAACCAUCACUAUAUCCGCUCACGUGUAAUGACCAGAGGAGAUAUCCAUUCAGAUUGUAUGUUAAAAAAAAUAAAGGUCGAUAACUAAUGCGGCAAACUUUCAAAAAAAAAAA